This 254-nucleotide ribosomal RNA is filed under the name uncultured bacterium. RNAcentral's name for it is "partial 16S ribosomal RNA". It matches the Rfam family "Bacterial small subunit ribosomal RNA", at positions 524 to 776 of the family's 1533-position model. The record is from RNAcentral.
UACGGGGGGAGCAAGCGUUGUUCGGAUUUACUGGGCGUAAAGGGCGCGUAGGCGGUCAGCACAAGUCAGUUGUGAAAUCUCCGGGCUUAACUCGGAAAGGUCAACUGAUACUGUGCGACUAGAGUGCAGAAGGGGCAACUGGAAUUCCCAGUGUAGCGGUGAAAUGCGUAGAUAUCAAGUGGAACACCAGUGGCGAAGGCGAGUCUCUGGACAUUUCCUGACGCUGAGGCACGAAAGCCAGGGGAGCAAACGGG